AAUUAACAGAGAUAAUUCAAGCUAAAUCUUAUUAGUGCUCUCGUUUAUAUGAAAUGGCAGACGACAAGUGAACAUCAAGUUAUCGCUACACUAUGUCCUGUCCUGCUCCACUUAAUACUCUUAUGUAUAUUUUUGUCCUACUAUCUCAUACUUACCCAUACAUUUUAUAAGCCUGGCUCUCUUUAGGAUAGUGUUUUUUUGUUUUUUGACAACUUGUUUUGUAUGAAUACUUAUUCUUCUGUAAAAUAAUUUGUUUGCCAUGCACUACUCGCGGCGGCCACCACGGUUGUCGCAGUGUGUAAGCGAGAGGUCCCGUCCGCAUCCCGGAGCGGCGUGCGGACCCGCAUCCAAUGCGAAGAUCGCCUACGUUGCCUGCGUGCUCUACUGCUCGCCAUCGUCACCAUGCUGUCGAGAACCGGGCCGCGACGGUGGCGCCCUCGCUCGGCUCGGUCUCGCGUGAAAGCUGCUCGGCGCCGCUCCUGCUCCGUGCCUCACUGCAGCAGCACAUCUAGGUCGCUGUCAAGGUACAUCGAGUACAGCGCCGUCGAGACGCAGAGCUACGCGCGCUCCACGCCGAAGGCAAGCCUCCCUCACUAACUAAUGACAUAUUUAUUGUGUAUUAUCAUGGUGUUAUUUAAUAUUAAAAGCUCUGCUAUAUUUGUACUAGACUGAUGGAUGUUUGUAUAGGAAUUUAUCGUUACGUGACUAGUAAACAUCUUAUGAUAUUACAGUAUAUUUAAGAGUGAAGUAUGUACAUUAAUAUUUAAAUAAUUUAUGUUUUUUUAAUAUAGCGUAUUUUGUACUUAUUCCGUUUGUUUUGAGAUCACUCCUGGGGAUUGUAAUAAAAUUGACCAAAAUCAA
Molecule: long non-coding RNA, 861 nt
Organism: Cydia pomonella (codling moth)
Lineage: Eukaryota; Metazoa; Arthropoda; Insecta; Lepidoptera; Tortricidae
Exons: 3
Source: RefSeq, a predicted model, not a curated record